RNAcentral lists this ribosomal RNA (426 nucleotides) under uncultured Pseudomonadota bacterium. RNAcentral describes it as "bacterial SSU rRNA". It matches the Rfam family "Bacterial small subunit ribosomal RNA", at positions 356 to 774 of the family's 1533-position model. Lineage: Bacteria; Pseudomonadati; Pseudomonadota. The record is from RNAcentral.
GGGGAAUAUUGGACAAUGGGGGCAACCCUGAUCCAGCAAUGCCGCGUGUGUGAAGAAGGCCUUCGGGUUGUAAAGCACUUUUAUCGGGAACGAAACAUUGUCGGCCAAUACCCGGCAAGACUGACGGUACCCGAGGAAUAAGCACCGGCUAACUCCGUGCCAGCAGCCGCGGUAAUACGGAGGGUGCAAGCGUUAAUCGGAAUUACUGGGCGUAAAGCGUGCGCAGGCGGUUUGUUAAGUCUGCUGUGAAAUCCCCGAGCUCAACUUGGGAAUUGCAGUGGAUACUGGCAGGCUGGAGUAUGGUAGAGGAAGGUGGAAUUCCCGGUGUAGCAGUGAAAUGCGUAGAGAUCGGGAGGAACACCAGUGGCGAAGGCGGCCUUCUGGACCAAUACUGACGCUCAUGCACGAAAGCGUGGGGAGCAAACA